GCUUUCUGAACGGAGAGGUCUUUUGAAGGAAACUGCACAAGGAUCUGCAGCACUCUUCCCGUACACGCACAGAUGCACGUGCCUGCUCUUCUUGUAUGACUUCUAACUAUGCGUUUCUUUCCCCUGACUGACCAAUAACACCAGCGCAUUAGCUUAAUCUAUAUUAGAAAUUGCACAAAAGCCUCCCACGAGUGUACGGGACAUGAACAUGACCAGGUCAACAGCGAAAAAGACAAAGUUGCUUAAACUUCUCCUUCUUGUUUCUAGCCAUUUUUUCGUCACAAGUCAGUUGCUCUGCCGAAGACCCCGCUAUCGUGUCUGGCGCCCUCAACCAGGGAACAUCACCCUGAGAUUGUCCCUCAUGGAGAACACCUGCAGGAAUGUGAAUCAUUGCUGGAAUGGCAUCUCGGAACGGGCUCGGGCGCACUUGAUGGAUAAAUCAUAUGCGUUUCCGCAAUUGUGCCCUGUGGAGGUCCAGUUAGGAGACACUCUCUUGGCUUUUACUGACCCAAUGCUAGAGCAGUAUGGAAUAAACCUAGUUAAUGUGUCAAAAGAAGAAUUCGACAGUUGCUUCACAGAGCAAAAACAAAAGCAACACCUAUUUGCUGGCUAUAUGAACGGUAGCCUGCAGGUGGCCUCGAAGUGGCUUUCUCCUGGUGUUCAUUAUUUUGCCGCCACUCAUGAGGGCAGUAGACAUUUAUGUCAUCUUGGCCUCCGCUUUAGUGUGCUAGUCAAAGAGCAGCUCUGUCAGAACUCUCCAGGUCGCCACCUGUGUUCAGGAAAAGGUGUUUGCAGGGCGCAGACUGGACAGUUUGCAUAUGGCUGUCAGUGCCCCAAGCCCUACUCUGAACCGUAUUGCGAUGCUGUGGACAUGUGUUCUGGAGGUCCUUGCCAAAAUGGUGCAAACUGCCUAAGCAGUCAUGCUGCCCACCAAAGUCAGGCUUCUUACCAAUGCUUGUGCCCAUCACUGUUUACAGGUGUUAACUGCUCUAAAAUUCUUGGCCAAAACAACUGUAUCAGGCGAUGCAGAAAUGGGAUUUGUCUCCAAGUGUCACCAAACUCCUUUCAUUGCGAAUGCUUCGAUGGAUUCACAGGCACAUUCUGCUCAGAAAAGAAAAACCCCAUGAGCAAAAGCAAAGGCGAAAAAUGUGACGAGAAGUACAUUUGCAUGUGCCCUGAAGGCUCCACUGGUUACACUUGUGAAGUGAUGCUGGAACACAACUGCACAGCACUCGACUCUCUGAAAGAAGAUGAUGACAGCACUGUCAAAUGCGUGUGCAGCAAUGGAAGACUGUGUUUCGUCGACAGCAUCAGCAGUCACAGCUGCAUUUGUGCGCCAGGUUGGACACGUUUAAUAAACGUUAAUGACUGUACACAGCAUCGGUGUCAGAACGGGGCCACUUGUGUCAACAAAGUUGCCGGGUACAGUUGUCAGUGUGACCACGGAUACACUAGGGUUCACUGCGAGCUUGAUAUUUCCCUCCUUAUUAAACAACUACGCUCGGACAUACACAGCGUCUCUGAGGACCAGCAGCACUACAUCUGCUUCUGCCAGCCACGGUACACAGGAGUCUUCUGCGAGAUCAAGACAGAUGAAUGCAAGAGUUCCCCCUGUGCUAAUGGUGCCACCUGCAUGGAUAUUGUUGCCAGUUACUGGUGCCCCUGUGCUGCUGGAUUUGAAGAUAAGAACUGCUCUGCAGAGGUUGCUGACUGCACGUUUCUGAAGAAACCAGGUGAAAACAAUGCUGUUUGCUACAUCGAGAAUGGAGAUUUCUAUUGCAGGUGUCCACCAGGGUUAACUGGACGAUUUUGCGAGAUCGACAUCGACGACUGUGCGAGCGAGCCUUGCGGGGCGGUCAGCAUCUGUGAAGACGGCAUCGCCGCCUACCGCUGUUUCUGUGCACCUGGAUUUAUCGGUAAUUACUGUGAGAUUGAAGUAAACGAGUGUCUUAGUCAUCCUUGUCAAAACGGAGCCUCCUGCUUGGACAAACUCGACUCCUUCAGCUGCAUCUGUCCAGAUGGACUCUCAGGCACUUUAUGUGAAAUUGACAUCAACGAAUGCCUCUCGUCUCCGUGCCAGCAUGAAGGGACGUGUCUGGAUCUUACCAAUGGCUUUGUAUGCAUUUGCCCUCUUGGCUUCACGGGACCCAUGUGCGAGGUGGAUAUUGACGAGUGCAGCUCUUCUCCUUGCGAGAACGCUUGCCGAGACCAGCCUGAUAAUUACCAGUGCCAAUGUGUGGAUCCAUUUAAAGGGAUACACUGCGAGCUUCUGCCUUGUGAAGCAAGUAAUCCAUGUGAGAACGGAGCUAAGUGUGUGGAAGAAGCCGACUUGGAGCGCUUCCCUUUGGGAUUUCACUGUCACUGCCUCCGAGGCUUCACCGGCCCUCGCUGCGAGCUCAACGUUGACGAGUGCGACUCUAACCCUUGCGUCCACGGCUUCUGCUAUGACGUUGUGGAUGGGUAUUACUGCCUUUGUAACCCCGGUUACGCUGGAGUGAGGUGUGAGCAGGACAUCGACGACUGCCUUGGCAACGCAUGCGAGAACAACUCGACUUGUGUCGACUUCCAUCUGAGUUACCAGUGCGUCUGCGACCCAGGCUGGGAGGGUGAGCUUUGCCAGAUCGAGACGAAUGAGUGUGCGCCGAACCCUUGCAGAAAUAACGGCACCUGUACUGACCUGCUCAACUCCUACAGGUGCUUAUGCCCUCGUGGGUGGACUGGUCCGGAUUGUAUAGAGGCUGUAUGGGGUUGUGUCUCCUCUCCUUGCUUUAAUGGGGCCCUGUGUGUGGAAUCGGACGACCCCAUCGAGUUCUUCUGCACCUGCCCACCCUUCUUUACCGGCUCCCUCUGUGCGGUGCCCUACGACCCGUGUGACGUGAAGAACAACCCCUGCCUGAACAACUCCACCUGCCGAUCCACACCAGAUGGCUCAGCCGAGUGCCUCUGCCCUUCAGGGAUUGAGGGAUCUCACUGCGAUAUUGACACUGACGAGUGCGAGUCUAGCCCGUGCCGAAACCACGGCCAUUGUGUGGACAUGGUCAACAAUUACUACUGUAACUGUACGCCUGGGUUCUCGGGUCUGCACUGUGAGGAAGACAUCGACGAAUGUGCGUCCAACCCGUGCCAAAAUCGUGGCAUUUGUCAGGACUUAGUGCACAGCUUCCGAUGCUCCUGUCUGCCUGGAUACAGUGGGCCUGUGUGUAACCUGGUCACGAAGCCAUGUGAAGCCUCAUCUUGCCUCCAUGAUGGUGUGUGCAUCAACAAGCCCAGAGGUUUUGUGUGUGUGUGCAGGCCUGGAUACACCGGUACUUGGUGUGAGCUGAUUGUGGACAAGUGCGCCUCCAAUCCAUGCCAGAAUGGUGGCAGGUGUGUUGACGGUCCCGAUGGCUAUCAGUGCUUUUGUCCCGAUGGCUUCUCUGACUCUGACUGUGGGAACAACAUUGACGACUGUGCCUCAGACCCCUGUGUUCACGGCAGCUGUUCAGACGCCAUCGACGCAUAUGACUGUCGGUGUGAGAGUGGAUGGAGUGGCCCCAGAUGUGAUACUAAUGUGGAUGAGUGUGCAUCUCAGCCUUGUUUGAAUGCUGGAUCCUGCGUGGACCUCGUGGACGAAUACACCUGCAUAUGCACGAAGGGCUACAACGGGCCCCGUUGUGAGGUUGAUUUGGAUGCGUGUAUGGAUGCGCCCGUGAAUUCCUCGUACUGUUUUAACGGUGGAACUUGUCUGGAUGGCCCGGGAUACAGUUUUACAUGCAGAUGUCCAGCAGGUUUUGCUGGGGAUUUUUGCGAGUUGGAUGUGAACGAGUGUUGCUCAGAGCCUUGCUUCCACGCCGGCGUCUGCCAAGACCUCAUCAAUGGCUACCGGUGCCACUGCCGACCCGGUUGGACAGGCCUUCGCUGUGAGGAUGACAUUAAUGAGUGCCUGCCGCAGCCAUGCAACCAGGGGAUGUGCAUCCAGAACGAACCAGGCCAAGGCUACUCCUGUUUCUGUCAGCCUGGAUUUGUGGGCAGAAACUGUGAGUAUAAUUACGAUGACUGCUUGCUCUGGCCAUGUCCCGAUGGCUUCACCUGCGUGGACGGCGUCAACAGUGUGAGCUGCGUUGCCGUGGAGACAAAUGUGACCUCGUCGCCUGCUGUUUUCCUCACUCGCGCUGAACAAGCAGCAGAUAUCAGCUAUGGAAGAUAUUCUGGUGCAUCUUUCCUGGAGUUUGAGCACAUUCAUCUCAGUGCUGUGAGUAAUAUCACAGUGAGGUUUCAGACUCGCUCUGUGAACGGAACAAUCCUAUUCGUCGACCAGCCAUUUGGCUGCCUCUUUCUCAAGCUCUACCUCAACAAUGGAAUUUUACAGUAUGAUUUUUCCUGCAGCCAAAACGAAGGGAUUCAUAGCAUUAAUACCAAAGUACAGGUCAAUGAUGGCAAAGAGUAUUUGGUGCACAUAAGACAGUCUCUCGCUCCGUGUGAAGCCGAUGUCGCCGUGUCUGGCUUUCGACGUGCUCAAAGUAAUCCAAACAAUUACCGGCCAGGAGUUGCUUUGCAAACAACGGCCCGUGUUUUUGUCGGAGGUCUACCACUUAAUUACUCUACAAAAAAGGGAGCUGAGCCUCUAUACAACUACACUGGCUGUAUUGAAAUAAUUGAAAUUAAUAAGCACAAAGGAUUUCACACUUCCAGUGCCAUCGCUGGGAACAACACAGGCGACUGCAAGUCAUCCUGGCAACAGAACAGUCUGGCGGAUGCUGUUGUAACCUCUGAUGUAUUCGGUUCCCCCAGAGGAGCAGGCCACCUUAAACUUCUGCCAACCAUGGCCUCGUUGGCAUGCUCUGAAGAACCAUGUCUCAAUGGUGGCACGUGUCAUCGGUUGUCCAUGCCAAGUGGUGCUGCAUCCUUCUUCUGCAACUGCCCUCUAAAUUACACCGGUCGCCUGUGUGAAAAAGAAACCUCCAUACGCUCCCCUUUAUUUAGUGGCUCUUCAUACUUGGAGCUUCAGCCCUUGACGUCGCUGGACACAGGCUUCGAGAACACGUCUUCCAGACCCCCGCUUAGCAUUCAACUUACUGUGAAAGUGAAGGCCCUCGAUGGGAUUCUACUUUACACUGAGGAGCAAAAGUUUGGCGGUCGAUUUCUUCACGUCUUCCUCCAAGAUGGAUAUCCAGGUGCCAGAUUGGGCUGCAGUAGCAGUGAUGUUUUGGAAUCCCUUUCCAGUCAGAAAAUGGACAGAGACACUGUGGCAUCAGUAAUAGUGAGAUAUUGGUUGCCUGUCAGCCGAGAUGGAGGGUUAUGCGUGAUUGAAGUAGCUGCGACUAAUGGAACUGCUAAUCGAUCACAGAAAUAUGUAUCUGAACCCUCGUCUGAGAUUGUUUUUGGGCCCACUUUCCUGGGUGGUGUGCCAUCAACUUCCUUCCAUGGCAACACAGGCAAUGUCUCUGGUUUUGUGGGCUGCAUCCUAGAGCUUCGGGUCAACUCUAGAGAACUUCACGUAAUGGAAGACGCGCUUCGCGGACAAAACAUCCAAAACUGUGAUACAGCGGUGUGUCAACACCAACCGUGCCGAAAUGGAGGAACCUGCAUCAGUGAUACAGACACCUGGCUCUGCGUCUGUCCCCCACUCUUCUCAGGCAAGCUGUGUCAGUUCGCUACCUGUGAGCGCAACCCGUGUGCACACGGCGCCACCUGCAUCCCCAAGAGCCCUUUGGAGGCGGUGUGUCUUUGUCCGCAUGGCAGGCAAGGUCUUCUGUGCGAUCAGGCCAUACGAAUUACCCGGCCAAGAUUUAGCGGUCUCGAUGAGUUCGGGUUCCCGUCCUACAUGGCGUACCCACCUAUUUCCAGCAUGAGCUACUUCUAUGAGUUCCGGCUGAAACUGGUAUUUUCCAAUAACAGCACUGCCAUGAAGAAUAACCUUAUUCUCUUCUCUGGACAGAAAGGACAAGGUAUCACCGGGGACGACUUCUUUGCCUUGGGAGUGAGGAACAGACGAAUCAUCUAUAAGUUCAACCUCGGUUCAGGGGUGGCUUCCAUCAUCAGCGACCCUCUAAGCCAGAGGGCCCGGAUACACACUGUGCACUUUGGACGAUAUCUUAGAAAUGGAUGGAUGAAGGUUGAUGGCCAAAGGAACAAGACAGGGUCGAGUCCCGGUAAGCUGGCAGCUUUGACCACCUUUAGUCCGCUUUACAUGGGUGGCUACAGUGAACACGUCCCCGAGAUGCUGCCUUUAGGUGCCAGGUUCGAUAAUAGCUUUCAAGGUUGCAUUUACAAUGUGCAAUUCCGGACCAGAUACGAUGGCAAGUUCCACACGCUGACCAAUCUGGAAACGCCGCCUAUAGCCGCCCGCAGUGUGGGUCAGUGUGGGGUCUCUCCAUGUAGUCUGCUUACCUGUCAUAAUGGUGGCACCUGUAUCGACUCCGGAUCCUCUGUAUACUGCCAAUGCGGGUCUGAAUGGAAAGGCGCUCUGUGCUCUGAGAGAGUGUCCUUCUGUGAUUUGGAACACAUUCCACCUCCCUCGUGUGCCCGUGGUUCUACAUGUGUUAUGCUUCCUGAAGGCUACAGCUGUCAGUGUCCCCUGGGCACCAGCGGCAAGUUCUGCCAGGAAGCUUUGUCCAUCAGCGACCCAUUUUUUAAAGCUAACUGGUCCUCCUGGAUGGCUUUUCCCCUCAUACACAUAAGACAGAGAACACACAUCGUGCUGCAGUUCAAGACAAUUUCACUGGAGGGCAUCCUGUUCUACGCAGCACAGUAUGUGGGCACCCACGCCGGUGACUUCAUCAGUCUGUCUUUGUCUGGAGGAUUUGUACAGCUUCGCUACAAUCUUGGCGACACAACAAUUGUGCUACAGUCUACAAACAAAGUGGACCUCAUGGGUUGCACAUGGCAUACAGUGAAAGCUGGGAGAGAGGGAAACCAAGGCUAUCUGGUUCUGGAUGAGCAAAGCAUAAUUCGGAACACCUCUAAGGGCAUGACCUCUCUCGAUAUCUCCAGUGAAAUUUUCAUUGGUGGUGUGUCCAUGCUGAAUUUCGUGUCCCCUGACGCGGUGGAGGAAGAGCCGAUCGGCUUCAGCGGGAGCAUUCGCGAAGUCAUCGUUAAUGGUCACGAGCUUGAGCUCACUGAGAAAGGGGCUCUGCGAGGGGUGAACGUGAAGGAUUGGGACGGGACAAAGUGUGGCUACAAAGUAUGCAAGAACAAGGGUUACUGCCAAGCAGACAGCCACGAUUCGUUCGUCUGCCUUUGCCCUGCAGAGUGGACAGGCACAUAUUGUGAGCAGUCUAUUUAUUGCGAAGGCGCUACGUGCCAACAUGGUUCCAUCUGCAUUCCAAACAUUACAUCAGCCACAUAUUCCUGCACGUGUGGCCUCGGAUGGCAGGGAACACACUGCGAACAGCGAGUGUCCACGCAAACCAUUCACUUUGUUGGAAAUUCCUAUUUGAAAUACAAAGACCCAAAGUACAGCACGAGAGAUCUGACCCGCACACACUUUUCAUUUAAUCUUUCGGUGAGCUCAGGAGACGGGCUGAUUCUGUGGAUGGGCCUGGCAAAAAGUGAAAAUGAUGAUUAUCUUGCGGUAGGACUUCAGGAUGGUCAUCUCAAACUAGCCAUCAACCUUGGUGAGAGGAUUGCAGUGCCUCUCGUUUCCCGAAACACAACCCUGUGCUGUAAUGAAUGGAAAUACCUGUCUAUUACUCUUGAUCGUACGAUCAUCCAAGCUUAUGUCGAAGAAAAGAAGGUUAUUUUUGAGGACAUCGACCCGUUUGAGCACUACGUUUCCAUGAAUUAUGGAGCCGUUUAUUAUUUCGGAGGCUUCGAAAUGAGCAGAGAUGUAGGGUGGGUUACAUCCGGUCUCUUUACAACAGGGUUUGUAGGAAGUAUCAAAGAUGUUCUUUUGUAUCAGGACACAAGCAUGAUGCAGAUUCUGGAAAAGGCUGAGGGCUUUAAUGUUUUUCAAGUAGAUGAUUAGUAGGCACUGACCAGGCACUGGGGAAUGCUCGACGGGUCAGGACUGUUUUGGCAGCAAAAGGGGGAUCAACACAAUAUUAGUAGGCAGGUGCUCAUAAUAUUAUGCCUGAUCAGUGUAUAUACAAUCAAUUUAUAAUAUUAACAUAUGAUUAAUAGUAGCGCUUGUGGCAACCUGACCAUCACAACAAUUAGUGUUAUUCCAGAUUUAGUCUCAAUUUGCUGUUAAUACCCUCUGUUUUUCUGAUAAGGCUUUGCCCAAGAUUCUUUAAUGUGGCUAUGUUGGGAUUUGCCUAUUAUUGAGAUCAAGAAGUGAUUAUGUACCAGGAGGAUUGGGGGUGUCCUCCAAUCCAUCCCAAAAGGGUGGGGGUCAGAGCCGACCAUGUGCUGAACUCAAGUUGUGGUCUAAAGUCUUCAUGGACCUUGUCUUGUACCCAGUGAAACUCUCAUGCAGCCACAAGUUUGGGUUUCAGUCAUGGAAAUUGUAAUGCUACGGCAUACAUAGAUUUCCUACAAUUUCUAAGCUUCUAAUUUUGUGCAAACAGUUUUGUAAAAGCCCCAAAAAAUGGUGUGAUGGUCAGGUGUCCACGACAUGGUAGUGCAUGUAACAUUGGUAGAAAACAAAUGGAUCUGGUACAGUAGUGCAUUUUAAGCACCAACUUUUAAGCAUUAACUUUUAAUACUAGCAACCAAUAUAAUUUCUUUAAAGGUUGUAUGUAAAGAAUUUGUUUAGUUGCUAUUAGAAUGGUUUAUAUAUCUGUAUGUAUGUGUGUAAAUUUGUAUGUCGGACAACAAACAAUUUGUGUGUAUAUAUGAGUUACGAUGGUCCGACUUACAAUUUUUGGUUCUUAGCGAUACAGCAAAAUUGUAAAAAGAAUAUUUGAAGUUUCAUGCAGCAGGUACCGGCGUAUACUCACGAAUCCGGCGCCCAUCCACGUGCCCACUGCUACAUACAUACAGUGUUACUGUUUUGCUUAAUUAUUAACAAAUACCAGUGUACUAUAUAAUUAUCGCCAUUUUUUAAAACUCCUGCUUAUUCCAGGUCAUGGGGUCAUCAGAACACAUCUGCAUCGGAAGGUCUUGGAUAUUUGAGCAAGAUAAUGCGAACAGCAUACUGCAUCUAUCACAAGAGCAUGACUAUGUAGUAGAAGAGUCCGGGUGCUGAAUUGGCCUGCCAGCAGUCUAAACUUUUUCAACAUUUGAAAACAUUUGUCAUGAAACGAAAAAUUCAACAAAGGACCAAAACAUUAGCAUCUGAUCUCCACAGUUUCCAAAUGUAUACGGACAAAAGAUAAAGUGGACCUGUUGCAGCAAUCAAAUAAUUUUUUUUUAAAUGGUAUAUUUUAAGUUUAAUGUUAAGGAUAUGUUUUUUUGUUUUAUUGUAAAUAAAAUAUGGUUUUAUGA
Silurus meridionalis is the source of this 9345-nucleotide RNA transcript. It is a transcript of the gene named eyes shut homolog, with no coding region annotated. Lineage: Eukaryota; Metazoa; Chordata; Actinopteri; Siluriformes; Siluridae. The record is from RefSeq and is a predicted model, not a curated record. The transcript is spliced from 42 exons.